UGAUUUUUGUGCAAGUUCAGGUCACAAAGUGAGUGCGAAUAAGAAAUUUAUCUUCUUCUCUUGCGACAUUAACACAUGUAAGGCUAGUCGUAUUAGCAAGAAUUUUGGUUUUCAAGUCUCUAAUAAUCUUGGUAAAUACUUGGGGGUUUGUUAUAUGUUAGGAUCAAUAAAGAUACUUACCACUAUAUCCUUGAGAAAAUUAACCAAAAGUUGUCUGGCUAGAAUGUUAAUGAUGCAAAUAAU
RNAcentral lists this long non-coding RNA (243 nucleotides) under Carica papaya (papaya). RNAcentral's name for it is "long non-coding RNA (CPAP_LNC009507)". The record is from RNAcentral. Lineage: Eukaryota; Viridiplantae; Streptophyta; Magnoliopsida; Brassicales; Caricaceae.